RNAcentral lists this ribosomal RNA (252 nucleotides) under uncultured bacterium. RNAcentral's name for it is "partial 16S ribosomal RNA". It matches the Rfam family "Bacterial small subunit ribosomal RNA", at positions 524 to 776 of the family's 1533-position model. The record is from RNAcentral.
UACGGAGGAUGCGAGCGUUAUCCGGAUUUAUUGGGUUUAAAGGGUGCGUAGGCGGGUUAUCAAGUCAGCGGUAAAAUCGUGGAGCUCAACUCCAUCCAGCCGUUGAAACUGAUGAUCUUGAGUGGGCGAGAAGUAUGCGGAAUGCGUGGUGUAGCGGUGAAAUGCAUAGAUAUCACGCAGAACUCCGAUUGCGAAGGCAGCACACCGGCGCCCGACUGACGCUGAAGCACGAAAGCGUGGGUAUCGAACAGG